GUUUGAUUUCCGGAAUUACUCAUCUAUAUAUAUAUAUAUAUAUAUAUAUAUAAUCCUUUGCAUUUUAUCAAUAAUAUUACUGUUCAUAUUGGAAUAUAUAAUACAUACAUAUACAUAUACAGAAAACAUAAUUAUGCACAUAUUUGGCAGGUUUAUUAUUAGUAUCAGAGAGUGGGAGUGAGUCUUUCUGUAUCCACAAACCAUUACACUCCGUGAAUCCAGAACUAUGUCCGAUCUAGACUCCCACAUGUGGCAACGAACAACAACAAGAACGGAAUCCAGUUACUCCUGCCACUUCGAACACUCACACAGACACAUGCACACGCACAAGCACACAGUCGCACGCUCCCACAAGCAAGCAAGCAAGCGGUGAAGAAGCAGUCCCCAUCGAAUUGAAUGCCGACGGUGGGCACUGACACAUCGCGACCUCGCAAUCUCGACGGGACCAGCGGCGCUGUUGUCAACGGGACCUGGACCCCACAAGAUCAUAGCGCCGC
This 497-nucleotide long non-coding RNA is filed under the name Physcomitrium patens. Its description in RNAcentral is "long non-coding RNA (PPAT_LNC000591)". The record is from RNAcentral. Lineage: Eukaryota; Viridiplantae; Streptophyta; Bryopsida; Funariales; Funariaceae.